Molecule: transfer RNA, 74 nt
Filed under: Anguilla anguilla (European eel)
Lineage: Eukaryota; Metazoa; Chordata; Actinopteri; Anguilliformes; Anguillidae
Description: tRNA-OTHER
Source: RNAcentral
GGCUGUGUGGUAUAAUGGUUAGGGAAAUGGGCUUGUAACUCAAAGGUUGCAGGUUCAAUUCCCUGCCAUUGUAC